CGAAUGCUGACAUAAGUAACGAUAAAGCGGGUGAAAAGCCCGCUCGCCGGAAGACCAAGGGUUCCUGUCCAACGUUAAUCGGGGCAGGGUGAGUCGACCCCUAAGGCGAGGCCGAAAGGCGUAGUCGAUGGGAAACAGGUUAAUAUUCCUGUACUUGGUGUUACUGCGAAGGGGGGACGGAGAAGGCUAUGUUGGCCGGGCGACGGUUGUCCCGGUUUAAGCGUGUAGGCUGGUUUUCCAGGCAAAUCCGGAAAAUCAAGGCUGAGGCGUGAUGACGAGGCACUACGGUGCUGAAGCAACAAAUGCCCUGCUUCCAGGAAAAGCCUCUAAGCAUCAGGUAACAUCAAAUCGUACCCCAAACCGACACAGGUGGUCAGGUAGAGAAUACCAAGGCGCUUGAGAGAACUCGGGUGAAGGAACUAGGCAAAAUGGUGCCGUAACUUCGGGAGAAGGCACGCUGAUAUGUAGGUGAAGCGACUUGCUCGUGGAGCUGAAAUCAGUCGAAGAUACCAGCUGGCUGCAACUGUUUAUUAAAAACACAGCACUGUGCAAACACGAAAGUGGACGUAUACGGUGUGACGCCUGCCCGGUGCCGGAAGGUUAAUUGAUGGGGUUAGCGGUAACGCGAAGCUCUUGAUCGAAGCCCCGGUAAACGGCGGCCGUAACUAUAACGGUCCUAAGGUAGCGAAAUUCCUUGUCGGGUAAGUUCCGACCUGCACGAAUGGCGUAAUGAUGGCCAGGCUGUCUCCACCCGAGACUCAGUGAAAUUGAACUCGCUGUGAAGAUGCAGUGUACCCGCGGCAAGACGGAAAGACCCCGUGAACCUUUACUAUAGCUUGACACUGAACAUUGAGCCUUGAUGUGUAGGAUAGGUGGGAGGCUUUGAAGUGUGGACGCCAGUCUGCAUGGAGCCGACCUUGAAAUACCACCCUUUAAUGUUUGAUGUUCUAACGUUGGCCCGUUAUCCGGGUUGCGGACAGUGUCUGGUGGGUAGUUUGACUGGGGCGGUCUCCUCCUAAAGAGUAACGGAGGAGCACGAAGGUUGGCUAAUCCUGGUCGGACAUCAGGAGGUUAGUGCAAUGGCAUAAGCCAGCUUGACUGCGAGCGUGACGGCGCGAGCAGGUGCGAAAGCAGGUCAUAGUGAUCCGGUGGUUCUGAAUGGAAGGGCCAUCGCUCAACGGAUAAAAGGUACUCCGGGGAUAACAGGCUGAUACCGCCCAAGAGUUCAUAUCGACGGCGGUGUUUGGCACCUCGAUGUCGGCUCAUCACAUCCUGGGGCUGAAGUAGGUCCCAAGGGUAUGGCUGUUCGCCAUUUAAAGUGGUACGCGAGCUGGGUUUAGAACGUCGUGAGACAGUUCGGUCCCUAUCUGCCGUGGGCGCUGGAGAACUGAGGGGGGCUGCUCCUAGUACGAGAGGACCGGAGUGGACGCAUCACUGGUGUUCGGGUUGUCAUGCCAAUGGCACUGCCCGGUAGCUAAAUGCGGAAGAGAUAAGUGCUGAAAGCAUCUAAGCACGAAACUUGCCCCGAGAUGAGUUCUCCCUGACUCCCUGAGAGUCCUGAAGGAACGUUGAAGACGACGACGUUGAUAGGCCGGGUGUGUAAGCGCAGCGAUGCGUUGAGCUAACCGGUACUAAUGAACCGUGAG
RNAcentral lists this ribosomal RNA (1646 nucleotides) under Escherichia coli. RNAcentral describes it as "partial 23S ribosomal RNA". It matches the Rfam family "Bacterial large subunit ribosomal RNA", at positions 1291 to 2915 of the family's 2925-position model. The record is from RNAcentral. Lineage: Bacteria; Pseudomonadati; Pseudomonadota; Gammaproteobacteria; Enterobacterales; Enterobacteriaceae.